RNAcentral lists this transfer RNA (73 nucleotides) under Ictidomys tridecemlineatus (thirteen-lined ground squirrel). RNAcentral describes it as "Spermophilus tridecemlineatus (thirteen-lined ground squirrel) tRNA". It matches the Rfam family "tRNA". From Rfam's summary of the family: Transfer RNA (tRNA) molecules are approximately 80 nucleotides in length. Their secondary structure includes four short double-helical elements and three loops (D, anti-codon, and T loops). The record is from Rfam by way of RNAcentral. Lineage: Eukaryota; Metazoa; Chordata; Mammalia; Rodentia; Sciuridae.
GGGGAUAUUGCUCAGCUGGUAGAGUACUUGCCUCACAUGCACAAGGCCCUGGGUUCAAUCCCCAAUACCACCA